RNAcentral lists this ribosomal RNA (1960 nucleotides) under human gut metagenome. Its description in RNAcentral is "bacterial LSU rRNA". It matches the Rfam family "Bacterial large subunit ribosomal RNA", at positions 1 to 1977 of the family's 2925-position model. The record is from RNAcentral.
GUGAACAAUUAAGGGCGCGCGGUGGAUGCCUAGGCUCUCGGAGGCGAUGAAGGACGCGAUAAGCCGCGAUAGGCCACGGCGAGGUGCAAGUAACCCUUGACCCGUGGAUUUCCGAAUGGGGCAACCCGGCUGGAUAGAUUCCAGUCAUCCUAAAUGGAGGCGAACGCGGGGAACUGAAACAUCUCAUUACCCGCAGGAGAAGAAAACAACAGUGAUUCCCCCAGUAGUGGCGAGCGAACGGGGAAUAGCCCAAACCGUUGCCGUUUCGGCGACAACGGGGUCAUGGGACCACGACACUCGAUAAACGUUCAAGCGCAAUUACCUGGAAAGGUAAGCCGUGGAGGGUGAUAGCCCCGUGCGCGUAAAUUGUUAUCAAGAUAGCGGUAUCCCGAGUAGGGCGGGACACGAGAAAUCCUGCCUGAAUUCACCAGGACCGCCUGGUAAGGCUAAAUACUCCCGAGAGACCGAUAGUGAACCAGUACCGCGAGGGAAAGGUGAAAAGUACCCCGAGCAGGGGGGUGAAAUAGACCCUGAACCCGCGCGCCUACAAGCGGUCGGAGCUGCCUUGUGCAGUGACGGCGUGCCUUUUGCAUAAUGAGCCUACGAGUUAGUCGUCACCAGCGAGGUUAAGGGCUUCAGGCCCGUAAGCCGAAGUGAAAGCGAGCCUUAACAGGGCGUUAAGUUGGUGGCGCUAGACGCGAAACCUUGUGAUCUACCCACGAGCAGGUUGAAGUCGCGGUAACACGUGAUGGAGGACCGAACCGGUAAACGUUGAAAAGUUUUCGGAUGACCUGUGGGUAGGGGUGAAAGGCCAAUCAAACUGGGAAAUAGCUCGUACUCUCCGAAAUGCAUUUAGGUGCAGCCUCUGUUGUUUUGUUCUAGAGGUAGAGCUACUGAUUGGAUGCGAGGGCUUCACCGCCUAUCAAAUCCGGCCAAACUCCGAAUGCUAGAACAUGAAGACAGGGAGUGAGCCAGCGGGUGCUAAGGUCCGUUGACGAAAGAGGGAGAACUCAGACCAUCAGCUAAGGUCCCCAAUUAUAUGCUAAGUUGGAAUUAAAACGGGGUGGGACUGCUUAGACAGCUAGGAUGUUGGCUUGGAAGCAGCCAUUCAUUUAAAGAGUGCGUAACAGCUCACUAGUCGAGCGGUCCUGCAUGGAUAAUACGCGGGCAUAAGCAUAUAACCGAAGCUAUGGGAUUGUAGAUGAUACAAUCGGUAGGAGAGCAUUCCAUUCAGCAUAGAAGCAGUAUCGUGAGGUAUUGUGGAGCGGAUGGAAAAGCAAAUGUAGGCAUAAGUAACGAUAAUGCGGGUGAGAACCCCGCACGCCGAAAGAUCAAGGAUUCCCCGGCAAUGUCAAUCAUCCGGGGGUAAGUCGGAUCCUAAGGGUAAGCCGAGUGGCGAUCCCGAUGGCAAACAGGUUAAUAUUCCUGUACUGAUCAUAACUGCGAUGCAGCGACGCAGAGGUGACACUGCUGCGUACUGACGGAAUAGUACGUUGAAACCCGUAUUCUUUGAUACCGGUAGUGAAGCACGCCGGUAGAGAUGAAAGGUGAUAGUACCGCAAUGCUUCGGUUGCGCGGAUAAUGCAGGUAAGCUGACUGCCAAGAAAACCUGCUAAGCUUCAGGUAAUGAUCAUCCGUACUGUAAACGGACACACGUGAUCAGGUAGAAAAUACUAAGGCGCUCGAGAGAUUCAUGGUUAAGGAACUAGGCAAAAUGGUCCUGUAACUUCGGGAUAAAGGACGCUCUUGUGAAAGAGCCGCAGAUAAUAGGCCCAGGCGACUGUUUACCAAAAACACAUGGCUAUGCUAAUUCGCAAGAAGAUGUAUAUGGCCUGACACCUGCCCGGUGCCGGAAGGUUAAGAGGAGAGCUCAGAGGUAACUCGAAGGUUUGAAUUGAAGCCCCGGUAAACGGCGGCCGUAACUAUAACGGUCCUAAGGUAGCGAAAUUCCUUGUCGGGU